RNAcentral lists this ribosomal RNA (513 nucleotides) under uncultured bacterium. RNAcentral describes it as "partial 16S ribosomal RNA". It matches the Rfam family "Bacterial small subunit ribosomal RNA", at positions 29 to 523 of the family's 1533-position model. The record is from RNAcentral.
AACGAACGCUGGCGGCAGGCCUAACACAUGCAAGUCGAGCGAACAGAUGAAGUGCUUGCACUUCUGACGUUAGCGGCGAACGGGUGAGUAACACGUAAGGAAUCUACCUAUAAGCGGGGGAUAACAUUCGGAAACGGGUGCUAAUACCGCAUAAUAUCUUCUUCCGCAUGGAAGAAGAUUGAAAGACGGCUCUGCUGUCACUUAUAGAUGACCUUGCGGUGCAUUAGUUAGUUGGUGGGGUAACGGCCUACCACGACGAUGAUGCAUAGCCGACCUGAGAGGGUGAUCGGCCACAUUGGGACUGAGACACGGCCCAAACUCCUACGGGAGGCAGCAGUAGGGAAUCUUCCGCAAUGGGCGAAAGCCUGACGGAGCAACGCCGCGUGAGUGAUGAAGGUCUUCGGAUCGUAAAACUCUGUUGUUAGGGAAGAACAAAUUUGUUAGUAACUGAACAAGUCUUGACGGUACCUAACCAGAAAGCCACGGCUAACUACGUGCCAGCCGCCGCCGUAA